CGCGUAGGCGGCCUUCUAAGUCGAACGUGAAAUCCCCGGGCUCAACCCGGGAACUGCGUCCGAGACUGGCAGGCUCGAAUCCGGGAGAGGGAUGUGGAAUUCCAGGUGUAGCGGUGAAAUGCGUAGAUAUCUGGAGGAACACCGGUGGCGAAGGCGGCAUCCUGGACCGGUAUUGACGCUGAGGCGCGAAAGCCAGGGGAGCAAACG
This 207-nucleotide ribosomal RNA is filed under the name uncultured bacterium. RNAcentral describes it as "partial 16S ribosomal RNA". It matches the Rfam family "Bacterial small subunit ribosomal RNA", at positions 568 to 774 of the family's 1533-position model. The record is from RNAcentral.